This 561-nucleotide unclassified non-coding RNA is filed under the name Hevea brasiliensis (rubber tree). Lineage: Eukaryota; Viridiplantae; Streptophyta; Magnoliopsida; Malpighiales; Euphorbiaceae. The record is from RNAcentral.
GGUCCGCAGGCUUAUUUAUCGUAGAUUGGUGAGAUAAUUGUAGAGGCUCCCUCGGUGGAGUUGGAGAGCUCAUUGAAUUUUGAUAGAGGGGUUGAUCAGGCUUGAGGAUAAUAACUUUCUGAUCGGAAAUGAAAUCUUCGGCUGAGUCGAGGAGGGAGAAACCGUCGACGUCGGAGGGGUUCUCGGCGGCAGACUCAUCAGCGAAGAAUUCGAAGGUUUUGGUCUUGAAAGCAAGGGCGAAUUUCUGGAACAUUUCGGAUAUUGGUGGGGCUUUGGGAGUUGGUGAGGUGCCAUCCAUCAUUUCUGUCAUGACAAAUUGAGGGAAUUUGUUUCUCUUUUCUCGUAAUGGGCUGUUAAGAAUGGGAUUGAAUUCCAACUUUUUCUUUCCCCUUCCCUGAAUUUUGUAUCGGGAAGAUUGAUCAGAGAGGAAGAGGAAAGAAAGAGAAAAACUGUUACUUUUUCUUCAGGGUUGUGCUUUGGAUGUCUUGGAAGGAAGGUAUUCCCUGUGCGUGGGUUUCGCCUUCCGGCGCUGCUGCUGCUGCUGCGCUUCUUUCUUUUCUU